This 1016-nucleotide ribosomal RNA is filed under the name Lophiostoma macrostomoides. RNAcentral's name for it is "eukaryotic LSU rRNA". It matches the Rfam family "Eukaryotic large subunit ribosomal RNA", at positions 46 to 1083 of the family's 3401-position model. Lineage: Eukaryota; Fungi; Ascomycota; Dothideomycetes; Pleosporales; Lophiostomataceae. The record is from RNAcentral.
AUAAGCGGAGGACAAGAAAUCAACAGAGAUUGCCUCAGUAACGGCGAGUGAAGCGGCAACAGCUCAAAUUUGAAAUCUGGCUCCCUUGGGGGUCCGAGUUGUAAUUUGCAGAGGGUGCUUUGGCAUCGGCUGCGGUCUAAGUUCCUUGGAACAGGACGUCGCAGAGGGUGAGAAUCCCGUACGUGGCCGCCAGCCUUUGCCGUGUAAAGCCCCUUCGAAGAGUCGAGUUGUUUGGGAAUGCAGCUCUAAACAGGAGGUAAAUUCCUUCCAAAGCUAAAUACCGGCCAGAGACCGAUAGCGCACAAGUAGAGUGAUCGAAAGAUGAAAAGCACUUUGGAAAGAGAGUCAAAAAGCACGUGAAAUUGUUGAAAGGGAAGCGCUUGCAGCCAGACGCGCCUGCGGUCGUUCAUCCGGGCUUCUGCCCGGUGCACUCCCCCGCAGGUGGGCCAGCGUCAGCUUGGGUGGCCGGAUAAAAGCCCGCUAAACGUACCUCCCCCGGGAGGACUUAUAGGGCGGGUGGCAUACGGUCAGCCUGGGCUGAGGACCGCGCUUCGGCGAGGAUGCUGGCGUAAUGGUGGCAAGCGGCCCGUCUUGAAACACGGACCAAGGAGUCUAACGUCUAUGCGAGUGUUUGGGUGUCAAGCCCGAUCGCGCAAUGAAAGUGAACGGAGGUGAGAUCCCUUGCGGGUGCAUCAUCGACCGAUCCUGAAGUCUUCGGAUGGAUUUGAGUAAGAGCGUAGCCGUUGGGACCCGAAAGAAGGUGAACUAAGCUUGAAUAGGGUGAAGCCAGAGGAAACUCUGGUGGAGGCUCGCAGCGGUUCUGACGUGCAAAUCGAUCGUCAAAUUUGGGCUUAGGGGCGAAAGACUAAUCGAACUUUCUAGUAGCUGGUUCCUGCCGAAGUUUCCCUCAGGAUAGCAGUGACGUUUUCAGUUUUAUGAGGUAAAGCGAAUGAUUAGAGGACUGGGGGUUGAAACAACCUUCACCUAUUCUCAAACUUUAAAUAUGUAAGAAGUCC